This 492-nucleotide small RNA is filed under the name Arabidopsis thaliana (thale cress). RNAcentral describes it as "ATSL038140". Lineage: Eukaryota; Viridiplantae; Streptophyta; Magnoliopsida; Brassicales; Brassicaceae. The record is from RNAcentral.
UAUGAUCCUAAACACUAAACCUAAACUCUACACCCUAAAUCCCAAAACCUAAAAUCCAACCCUUAAUCCCUAACCCCUGAACCUUAAAUCCUAAACCCGAAACCGUAAGCCCUAAACCAUAAACUCUUAACCUUAAACCCUUAAACCUAAACCCUAAACCAUAGAUCCCAAAAUUUAAAACCUAAAUCCUACUUUAGGCUUCCGGAAUCCGGUUGCGGUUCUAGUUCUUAUGCUCAAUGAUACACAAAGCAUCUAGUCAUAUUUAACUACAAAUCCGGUAGCAAAGCUUCUUCUUUUUUCCCAAAGCUUUGAUGGUGAAGUAGAAAUUCUUAUAAGUUUUUGGUGUUUUGAAUCGUUUAACAAGGAAGCACUACUUUACUUUUCGAGAUCUGGUUGAGGUUCUAGUUUUCAAUUCAAUCAUACACAUGACAUGUAGUCAUAUUUCCCUCUGAAACGCUAACCAAGAUUCUUCUUGCUUCUUAAAAUAUUAUA